GAGGGACAGGGAGGUUGAUGGUAAUCACACACCCAUGGCUACUGGGAAGACCAUGUGUGUGUUUAAAGAGAUAAUGUGCACCAGGUUUUGGGGAAGAUUCUGUGGGGUGUUUGUUCAGCGCACGGAAACCAUGCAGGUCAUGCCAGGCUAUGGCUUCCACAUCACCUGAGAAGAUGCUUUCUAAGUACAGGAUCCUUUAACUUGCAAGAAGUAGGGUUUCAGAGUCAUUCGUGCUGACAGCAGCCUUUUCAGGUGACCCACGGCAUGCGCGUUGAGGGCAAUGAGCACAACAAGACCCUGUGCAGCUGUUGAGUGAAGGUGGCAAACCUUUCUCGCUGCCCUUGAGUGUCAGAAUAGGGAGCCUCUGACCAUUUUAGAAUCCCAGUUUGGCCCAUUGGGAUUCCCCCGAUGGCCAUGCCCUUGACACCACUGAUGGUUGAUCUCUUGGCUUUGAAAUAUGGCCUCCUCUUGGCAGCUGCCAACUGGAAAGACCAGCUGGGUACUUUUUGGGCGGAUAGAUUAGGCUUGAGGGCAAGUGUGCCAUUUUGCUGCUUGACAUGGGUAACUAGGUAUAUGCUGUUGGUGCUUGUCGGUGCUGGAAUUUUCAGAUAUUUUCUGGAUGACAUACCCUGUAGUUCUCCAUUCUGGGAAACCUACUUGAUUUACACACACCUUGCAGACACCUAAAUGUGGCUCGCCUAGGAGAGAAGGCCUAAACAGGAAGGUUCUGAGGCUUAGCGAGGCCACACUCCACCCAAGCUCUUGUUCCCGCCCCAGCGUUGUUCUUUCUGAACUGAAAUCUGGGUGGAGCUGACCUUCUGAGCCACCCAGCUGAGGACCUUUCUCACAGCUGAGCUACAUUAUGGUGCCUGUCAGGUGUGUGUAAGUCAGCUAGAACUCCCGGAAUGGGGAAUUAUGGGAAAUCCAAAGAAUUUCCUCGCUAGGUGCUUCAAACUUGCAGGGGUAUAUGGCGUUAGACUGUAAGCAGCUCUGUGGUGAAGCUGGUACUCUAACCAAGAUAACUCAAGGCCAGGCCACAUUUAUGAUAAAUGCAGCGUUCCAUGUGUCAUUUGGCCUUGGUGGACUCAGAGUAGGGAAUCCUAAAUCACGGCAACGGGAAGGCUGCACCUCCUACGGAAAGUUGCUCUUCUGGACUACAGUUCCCAGAAUUCCUAACCGGCCUGGCUGGCCGAAGAUUUGCAAACGUAUAAAAUGUUUACGGUCUCACCUAACUGUGCCUGCCUGCCUUGGUUGCCUGUGGCAUGUCAAGAGCCUUACAAGCAAUACCCUCUGGUUUACAAACAUUUACUGGGUCACUUAA
Molecule: long non-coding RNA, 1321 nt
Filed under: Pogona vitticeps (central bearded dragon)
Lineage: Eukaryota; Metazoa; Chordata; Lepidosauria; Squamata; Agamidae
Description: lncRNA (ENSPVIG00000007604.1)
Source: RNAcentral